This 1173-nucleotide long non-coding RNA is filed under the name Equus caballus (horse). RNAcentral describes it as "lncRNA (ENSECAG00000058809.1)". The record is from RNAcentral. Lineage: Eukaryota; Metazoa; Chordata; Mammalia; Perissodactyla; Equidae.
CAGGCUUAGAAUCCCGUAACUUCUUUCUGAUCCCAGGGCCCAUGGUGUCUCUGAAGCUAUUGCGUAGUUACUCCAGCUUACUUUUCUACUGCUGCCAAAGUAACUAGGGGCCAGGAAGAGAGUUCUAUGUAGAAUUCUGAGUGACUUGCUCAUUCUAUUUGAUUAUCUGUGUGUGUGUAUGUGCACUCUUCUUGAUUUGAAAACAAACCUCCAGUCCUCUGUUUGAAUUUAAGCAGCAAUAAACCAAUGACAAUAAUUCCACUCACAUUUGUCUAGAACUCUCCAUUAAGAGGAGGACUGUGGAAGAAAGUCCAACAAAAGGGACUGAAAAGGGACAAUCAGACUGAAGGUUUUGUAACACUCAAGAAGUACAUGAAAGAGGCCUCUUUCAUCAAGUAUUCUUAAGUUAUGAAAAUGGAAUUGAAGCAUAUUUUCCCCCUUCGUAUGAGAGAGAACUUACGUGAAAUCAAGUAUUCGCGAUUUUUCAGAACUGCAUAUGGAGAAGUUGCUGAAAUUCAAUCUUGCUUCCAGAUAAAGUCAGCACAGCAUUACCCAGUUAUUAUGUAGCAUUUCCAUGCAAACUAAUAAAUAGUAUUUCAACUUAAAAUUUCGGUUUUUAAUCUAGAUGUAACUUAAAAACUCUUACAAGUAAAAACUCUUAGAAGUAAGCAUUCUUGUCCAUCAGAAGUUUGUACAGAAAAAGCAAAUUCAAAGGGACAAAUAUGGGCAGUGCCUUCCAGCACUGACAGGGGGAAAAGAUCCUGGCUCAAGAACACAGGUCUCUAGGCAAUGAAGCAAGUGUAUCCCUCAAGAGAGAAGAAUGCAUUAAGUUGUCAUGGCUUUGAAACAUCAGCCAUUUACACCUCCCAACUUAUUCCCCUGGUUCUGAACCCAGAUUCACUUGGUAACCAUUCCAUUGCUUAUAAUUCUUCUUUGCAUAUACUUGUAUCUGUAUCUACAUCUAUACCUACAGGGACAAAAUACAGCAGUCAAUAUAACUCAUUAGCUUGAUGGAUGUAUUUCUUAUUGUAAACUAAUAUAUUGGCAUUCUGAGAUAAAAAAGCUUUUUUAUUCAUGUGAAUAUUGUCAGUGAGAUCAUUUUAAAGUCACAUAACUCUCAGCCACACAUACGGAGGUAGAAGUUCCGUUUCUGGAACAUGAGACUAGAAAUUG